This 499-nucleotide ribosomal RNA is filed under the name uncultured bacterium. RNAcentral's name for it is "bacterial SSU rRNA". It matches the Rfam family "Bacterial small subunit ribosomal RNA", at positions 338 to 828 of the family's 1533-position model. The record is from RNAcentral.
CCUACGGGAGGCAGCAGUGGGGAAUUUUGGACAAUGGGGGCAACCCUGAUCCAGCAAUGCCGCGUGUGUGAAGAAGGCCUUCGGGUUGUAAAGCACUUUUGUCCGGAAAGAAAUCCCCUGGGAUAAUACCUCGGGGGGAUGACGGUACCGGAAGAAUAAGCACCGGCUAACUACGUGCCAGCAGCCGCGGUAAUACGUAGGGUGCGAGCGUUAAUCGGAAUUACUGGGCGUAAAGCGUGCGCAGGCGGUUUUGUAAGACAGGCGUGAAAUCCCCGAGCUCAACUUGGGAAUGGCGCUUGUGACUGCAAGGCUAGAGUAUGUCAGAGGGGGGUAGAAUUCCACGUGUAGCAGUGAAAUGCGUAGAGAUGUGGAGGAAUACCGAUGGCGAAGGCAGCCCCCUGGGACGUCACUGACGCUCAUGCACGAAAGCGUGGGGAGCAAACAGGAUUAGAUACCCUGGUAGUCCACGCCCUAAAGCGAUGUCAACUAGUUGUUGGGG